Long non-coding RNA from Hippoglossus stenolepis (Pacific halibut), 516 nucleotides. RefSeq lists it as uncharacterized. The transcript is spliced from 3 exons. The record is from RefSeq and is a predicted model, not a curated record. NCBI's taxonomy places the organism in Eukaryota, Metazoa, Chordata, Actinopteri, Pleuronectiformes, Pleuronectidae.
UUUCCUCCUGUGAGCGGCUGUUUCAGGAAGCUCCACUCCACAGGUCAACGUGCUGAGUUUCACGUUAUAGCCUGAAACUGAUCUUCCCAUUCUAGAGUAAAGCAGCUCUUCAUACAAUUUAGACAAGUGAAAACAUCACUGAUUAUUUUAUAUUUAAUUUCUAACAAUAGAUCAAUUCACCUGAAUCUUACACACUGGAGCUUUAAAUGGUCUGUGAGCAACUCUCUUAUCUACUGUAAAGAGAGAGAGGAGGAGCAUGAGAACAGGGACGUGUCAGACUCCAUUUUCACCUGGAUGAGCAGAAGGAAGAAAAGUGAGCAGACUGAAGAUGAGUGGUUAUGAGGAGGAAGAGGAGGACAGAGCAGAGUCUCCAGUGUUCAGCUGUGUGUCUCUGAAGAGUGACCGGUCCAUGGGAGAACCUCCAAACUUCAGUAAUGAACCUGAACCCUCACACACAAAAGGUCAGGACCACAGACUGAGAGCAGAGUCUCCAGGGUCCAGCUGUGUGUCUCUGAA